This is a long non-coding RNA of Oncorhynchus tshawytscha (Chinook salmon), 785 nucleotides long. The record is from Ensembl. NCBI's taxonomy places the organism in Eukaryota, Metazoa, Chordata, Actinopteri, Salmoniformes, Salmonidae.
CCCUCCUCUAGCCAAGUAGCAUGCAGCCCCAGCCCCUCCUCUAGCCCAGUAGCAUGCAGCCCAAGCCCCUCCUCUGGCCCAGGAGCAUGCAGCCCCUCCUCUAGCCCAGAAGGAUGCAGCCCCAGCCCCUCCUCUAGCCCAGAAGGAUGCAGCCCCUCCUCUGGCCCAGUAGCAUGCAGCCCCAGCCCCUCCUCUAGCCCAGUAGCAUGCAGCCCCAGCCCUCCUCUAGCCCAGAAGCAUGCAGCCCCUCCUCUGGCCCAGUAGCAUGCAUCCCCAGCCCCUCCUCUAGCCCAGAAGCAUGCAGCCCCUCCUCUAGCCCAGAAGGAUGCAGCCCCUCCUCUGGCCCAGUAGCAUGCAGCCCCAGCCCCUCCUCUAGCCCAGAAGCAUGCAGCCCCUCCUCUAGCCCAGUAGCAUGCAGCCCCAGCCCCUCCUCUAGCCCAGUAGCAUGUAGCCUCAGCCCCUCCUCUAGCCCAGUAGCAUGCAGCCCCAGCCCCUCCUCUGGCCGACCCAGUAGCAUGCAGCCUCAGCGCCUCCUCUAGCCCAGUAGCAUGCAGCCCCAGCCCCUCCUCUCGCCGACCCAGUAGCAUGCAGCCUCAGCCCCUCCUCUAGCCCAGUAGCAUGCAGCCCCAGCCCCUCCUCUGGCCGACCCAGUAGCAUGCAGCCUCAGCGCCUCCUCUAGCCCAGUAGCAUGCAGCCCCAGCCCAUCCUCUAGCCCAGUAGCAUGCAGCCUCAGCCCCCUCCUCUGGCUGACCCAGUAGCAUGCAGCCUCAGCCCAUCCUCUGGCC